RNAcentral lists this ribosomal RNA (253 nucleotides) under uncultured bacterium. RNAcentral describes it as "partial 16S ribosomal RNA". It matches the Rfam family "Bacterial small subunit ribosomal RNA", at positions 524 to 776 of the family's 1533-position model. The record is from RNAcentral.
UACGUAGGUGGCGAGCGUUGUCCGGAUUUACUGGGCGUAAAGGGAGCGUAGGCGGGCUUUUAAGUGAGAUGUGAAAUACUCGGGCUCAACUUGAGUGCUGCAUUUCAAACUGGAAGUCUAGAGUGCAGGAGAGGAGAAUGGAAUUCCUAGUGUAGCGGUGAAAUGCGUAGAGAUUAGGAAGAACACCAGUGGCGAAGGCGAUUCUCUAGACUGUAACUGACGCUGAGGCUCGAAAGCGUGGGGAGCAAACAGG